GUGUCUCAUACACUGAUGAGCAUGAGAUCAGGAAUCCCAGUCUGAGAGACAUGCUUUGGAGUAAAAAGAUGGAGUUGGUUUAGGUGAUGAGAAUUAGAAAGGAGAUGUAAGGAUGGCAUACACACACACAUGGUUCUUCUUCAGAAGAGAGACACUGUUUAUUGUUUCAAGCCAGUUCAUUGUCUUCAAUAGAAUGUGGAAACAGGACAACUUUGCUAAGAAUAUUUAGAUUAUUAAAAGUUAAAAUAGAAAUGAAAAUUAAAUUAUACUACUAAUUACAACACAAAUUUUCUUAAACUUGUAAUGCAAGUUUAAGAAUGUUUAUUUUUCUGUGGCCAAUAAAGAUUAGACGAGAGAAAAUAAACAUAUGAAGUUGGUAAAACGAGGUACAAAAAUUAUGAUCAAAGCAGUGUUUUGUUUUUUUUUUCCUUCAGCUUUCCUCAGUAUUAUGUUUCUGGACAACGUGCUGCUUCAUGUCAUUAAGGCAAAUGAGGUUAUGAAUUGCUUUCAUUUUUUGCAAAGAAUUUUCCUUUCAAUAUCUUCUGAAGUAAGCCUUGAACUUGCUAUAAGAAUCAUACUGCAGAUUCUGAUUUCAUUUACCAUUUAUUCAUUCAUCAGAUACUGCCCUAUGUGAUUUCAUUUAAUAGGGCCAUAAGUAAUUAGUACUUUUGUCCUCUGCUAAAUGAGAAAGAAUAAGGUCUUAUAUUUCAGAGGAAAGAGAAAAUUACGCUUAUGGAUUAAGCUGCUAUAGAAUAAACAUUCCAAUGCACUUGAGUUUCUAGUUGGCAGUGACCCUCCUGGCAUAGUGUAUAUCCCUCACAUCCUAUUGAAUCUACCUAAUAGAUACAGAGCUUUUCUGUCUCAGUGGUUUUGCUGUCCAUUCGUUAAUCACAUUUCUCUAAGACAUUUCUGGCUUAGAUUGGAAAGAAUACUUCUGGUUACCUGCAAUACUCAAAAUUAAAAAAAAAAAAAAAGAGUAACUAGCAAUUGCUUUUUUGGUUAAUAAUAGCAUUAAGCUAUAGAAAGUGAUUCCAGUAAAGAAGAAACUGUUUUCCUUUGGUACUGAGAUUGAAACAUCUGUCCAGAAAUUGGCUGACUUUAAAUGCUAUUGUUGUGAUAUAGUCAGGAUACUGAAUAAUAAAUGCUUAAUAUAUUUAAGGGAUUGACACUUACUUGGUUCUACCUGACACUACACACAGCCUUUAAAAAGGGCACAACACAGUCAGAAACAUUUGACCGGAAGGAUUCUUUUGGAAUCUGUACCAUGUGAGUCAUCUUUUGGUUUCUGUGCUUGAAGAGAUCACAGGUGAUAGCAUCUGGUGUAUACGAUACUCUACUGCGCAGGUUGUAUUACCCGGCAGAAUGCUACCAUCUGUGAAAUCGAAGUUAAGAGAGUAAAAAUCUUAUACUGAGGAGAAACCUUCUGCCUUCUGGUUUAUCUGUGAGGUUUCAGAAAAGUAGGAAUGCGUUAACAUUAAACCAAUAGAGCUUUUAAAUAACAGUGAGAGAGUGUAGUGUUUCAAAUUAUUCCUACCAUUAACCUUGUGAUUUGUCCAUGUUCUAAAUAUCCUGCCAAAAAAACAGGUGAUGAGUCACUUCUGAUUCAUCUCUCCAGAUCAGCAGAACCCUUUGCACCUACCAAGAGAUCAAAGUAUUUUCAUUUUUCUUGCAUAUAAAAUAAAGACAAAUGCUUAGCUUAAAAUGUAAGUUUUAUACCAAAAAUCCAAAUGGUAAGCUUGACGUUACUUAUUGGACGUGGAGAGCAGGCUGCAGACUUUGUCACCUACACCAAUUAGAUGUGAAAACUUGCUCCUAUACGUGGUCAUUCAAAUAAACUUAGUAUACCCCUCUUUUUUUAUCAUGACAUUUAUCCUACUAGAAUUUAUUGAUCGCUAGGGUAUUGCCAAUUUAUCUGACUCAUAUAUUAACUAAGCUUUCUCUCAAAGAAGUGAAUGAAGAAGCCCUCCUAUUUAUCUUUGAGAAUGGGUUUGUGAUAAUUUUGUUCUAUUCAUCAGAAAUAAGGCAUUAUCAAAACAAUGUUUCUAGUUUCAGAUGUCACACUCCAAGAAAAGUAUCUGUCCAUUAGACAGAUUGUAGAAUUCCAGUACAGAUUGGUGAGACUGACCAGAAUUAUGGAAGACAUGGCCUAAAGAGAAGGGAGAAAGGUUAAAUUAAUUCCAGAUAUUUUUGCAAGUCUAGAGCAAAUGAGACUUGAGUGAGAUAUUCUGAGGUUUUAAAUAAUACGGCUGCUUUGAAGAGCAAAGUAAUCAGAAUAAUACUUUCCGUGUUCGUAGUGUUUAGGACAAGAAGUAACAGCUUUAGAUUGCAAGGAGUAAGAUUCAGGCCCAACAUGGCAAAUUGUUUAAGGAUUGAGAGGGCUGUGACUCACUGAAAUAUAUUGCCUUGGAGUAUUAAGGAAGUCUUUGAAAAUAAAACACAGUCUGAAAAAAACAUAUUACUGGGUCAGAUGAGUGAAGUACGUAACUUACUGAGAUCCCUUCUGGACUCAUUUUUUAAAUACUAGGACUAGAGAUCUGAUACAGAUUGCUUUAAAUACUAAUAAGAAAAUGUGCACAAUGAUAGAAAAUAGUAAAAUAAUAACAUUAAAACAACAGUAACUGGAUGUGUUAACUUAAUCUCUAAUUCAGUGAAUAUUAAAAGCUUUUCAUUUACUGAGUAUUUAACUGGUAAUACAUCUCCCACCAGAAAUAAUCUUUUUAUUUGUUGAGGGAGAGAACUAGAAUGCUUUUGAAAAAACAGACAAGGUUUGAAGGUAAGCCAGAGUUCAGAUUCUGACUAGUUGUCAUCUUAUGAAUAAAUGGAAAUGGAUUAGCCAAAAUGUUAAAAAAAAAAAA
RNAcentral lists this long non-coding RNA (2855 nucleotides) under Strigops habroptila (Kakapo). RNAcentral's name for it is "lncRNA (ENSSHBG00005013771.1)". The record is from RNAcentral. Lineage: Eukaryota; Metazoa; Chordata; Aves; Psittaciformes; Psittacidae.